Molecule: long non-coding RNA, 523 nt
Filed under: Polistes fuscatus (common paper wasp)
Lineage: Eukaryota; Metazoa; Arthropoda; Insecta; Hymenoptera; Vespidae
Description: uncharacterized LOC122521285
Source: RNAcentral
UCUUCUCCCGAUCGAUCAUGUUUUUAACAAAAUUACGAGGGCCGAGUUAACGCGAGAGGAAAGUAUUUUCUUGAACUCAGUCCCGGCAAACUCGCUCCGUUCAUUCCAUCGCUAAUGUUCCAUGAAACCCGUGGCACGCCGCUCCCGCGCGAAUUAAAGAGUGAAAUAUGUUAAUGGAGUUCUCUCUCGAAGAGUGCGCGCGCGCGCGCAAGCGCACGUUAGCAAGCAACCCAGGAGGACCGGAUGGUAUCUUGAUUAAGGUGUCUGGCGGACGUUAGUCAUUCCGAGCAUCUCCAGCAAAGGCAGGCAAGCAGGCAGGCAGGACCACGAAAAUCUAAUUUUCAAGAACGCAAAGUGAAAAACGUUCUUCCCACGAAUCGUGGUAUCUUGGCGUUUGCCGCGCGGAAAAAGACAUGGAAAAAAAGAGAGAAAUAGAAAAGAGAAAAAUCUCGAGAUAUCUCGACGGGAACCUUGAAAAAAUUUGAUCGGGCCUAUCGUUAAAGAUCUUGACCUUGAACUGCAA